Molecule: ribosomal RNA, 1401 nt
Filed under: Triticum aestivum (bread wheat)
Lineage: Eukaryota; Viridiplantae; Streptophyta; Magnoliopsida; Poales; Poaceae
Description: partial small subunit ribosomal RNA
Source: RNAcentral
AUGAGCCUUCUCCCUGCCUUUGAGCUGCUGCUGCUUCUGCUUGCCUUGCCACGCCUUUCUUGUGCCUCAUAUUCUAUGUAUUUAUCACUGGACCGGGAAGCAGAGGCACUUCUCCAAUGGAAAUCUAGCCUAACCAUUUCGUCCCAUGAUAUAGACUCGUGGACAAAGGGAACCAGCCCCUGUAACUGGACCGGUAUUGCCUGCAGCAACGCCGUGCCUCGUGGCCGUGGCCAGGAUGCUGCUGCCUUGGUUGUGUCCAACAUUUCGCUUGGGUGGAACAUCGUCAGUGUUGGCAGGUUGGAUAGGCUGCACUUUGCAUACAUGCCUGAUCUUGUCUAUCUAGACCUCGCUUGCAACCAUCUCUCGGGCCCAAUCCCAUCGAGCAUUCGCGCUCUGAGAAGAAAGAAUGUAAAAAACAAAGCAAAAAGCAAGUCAGGAGAUAUGCUUUCCAUAUGGAAUUUUGAUGGGAACAUCGCAUUCGAAGACAUACUUAGUGCAACAGAAAAUUUUGAUGAGAAAUAUUGCAUUGGUAUUGGAGGAUAUGGGUCCGUCUUUAGAGUUCAGCUUGAAGGGGGGCUUAUCUUUGCCGUCAAGCUCCUCCAUUCAAUGGAAGAACAGAACGAUGAGGGGACAUUUCAUGCCGAGAUUGAAGUACUGACGAAAAUCAGGCACCGAUGCAUCGUCAAGUUGUACGGCUUCUGUUCACACUCCCAAUGCAAAUUCCUUGUGUACGACCUUAUCGAGAGGGGAAGCUUAUUAUCCAUUUUGGACGAACAAGAACUAGCAAAGGAGUUGGAUUGGGCCAACAGAAUUUCUAUUGUGACAGACGUAGCUCAAGCUCUCUCCUAUUUGCACCAUGACUGCGAAGAUCCUAUUGUACACCGGGACAUAAAAAGCAGCAAUAUUCUUCUGGACAUCGAUUAUAAAGCUUAUGUCUCGGACUUUGGCAUGGCGAAGAAGCUGAAGCACGGUUGCUCAAGCUGGAGCACUAUCUUUGCAGGGACAUGUGGCUACAUAGCCCCUGAGUUGUCAUCUACCAUGGUCUUGACUGAGAAGUGCGACGUGUACAGCUUCGGCGUGGUUGCCCUGGAAGUUGUGAUGGGAAGGCACCCAGGUGAUCUGCUCCUUCCAUUCUUUUGCCGAACAGAGCAGCCAGGGAAGUUCCAGGAUAUCCUGGAUCAACGCGUCACAGCACCGUCAACAACUGAUGAGAACGAUGUCAUUUUGGUUGCCUUGGUGGCUUUUGCUUGCCUGCAAAUCAAACCCAAAGCCCGGCCAACAAUGCAGCAGGUAUAUCAGGCACUAACAAAUAGAAACCACCGAGGGCUCAUGCUCAGACCCCUUCAUGAAAUCAGUCUUCAAGACUUGCAUGAUUAUUGUGGCACAGUAAAGAAUAUGUGA